This 482-nucleotide ribosomal RNA is filed under the name uncultured bacterium. RNAcentral describes it as "partial 16S ribosomal RNA". It matches the Rfam family "Bacterial small subunit ribosomal RNA", at positions 30 to 507 of the family's 1533-position model. The record is from RNAcentral.
AUUGAACGCUGGCGGCAUGCUUUACACAUGCAAGUCGAACGGUAACAGGCCGCAAGGUGCUGACGAGUGGCGAACGGGUGAGUAAUGCAUCGGAACGUGCCCAGUCGUGGGGGAUAACUACUCGAAAGAGUAGCUAAUACCGCAUACGAUCUAUGGAUGAAAGCGGGGGACCGCAAGGCCUCGCGCGAUUGGAGCGGCCGAUGUCAGAUUAGGUAGUUGGUGGGGUAAAGGCUCACCAAGCCAACGAUCUGUAGCUGGUCUGAGAGGACGACCAGCCACACUGGGACUGAGACACGGCCCAGACUCCUACGGGAGGCAGCAGUGGGGAAUUUUGGACAAUGGGCGCAAGCCUGAUCCAGCAAUGCCGCGUGCAGGAAGAAGGCCUUCGGGUUGUAAACUGCUUUUGUACGGAACGAAACGGCUCUGGUUAAUACCCGGGGCUAAUGACGGUUCCGUAAGAAUAAGCACCGGCUAACUACGUG